RNA transcript from Podarcis raffonei (Aeolian wall lizard), 904 nucleotides. It is a transcript of the gene named small integral membrane protein 11, with no coding region annotated. NCBI's taxonomy places the organism in Eukaryota, Metazoa, Chordata, Lepidosauria, Squamata, Lacertidae. The transcript is spliced from 6 exons. The record is from RefSeq and is a predicted model, not a curated record.
GGACUUAUAGUUUGUAGCCUUUUCCUGUGUUGAAUCGCUGAUUGUAAGGGCUAGGUGAAAACAGUAUAAAAAGCAGUGUAAGCUGGAGAGAGAAGGUACUGGAAAUUGCAGGUCAUCUUGCACAGUGGGUACUUGAAACGGACAUAGAAGACAAGAUUUCAGAAUAAAUGUGCAUGCUGCAACUGUAGUCCUAAGCACAGUUACUUGGAAGUAGAUUUCCCUAAAGUCUAGAAGUUACGUACUUCCAAAUAGAUGGUGGCUUUUUUUACUCCACUCGUUUCUCAUAAAUCUGACCAGCACUGUUUGCUUCUGCCUGAGGUGUAAGCCUUGACAUUGUUGCUGAAUCAAAAUGUGGCUAAUGAACUGGAAGGCACUGGAAAAUUUCCCACUGCUAAUGUACAUUUUAGCAGCUAAAACAUUAAUCCUUUGCUUAGCAUUUGCUGGGGCAAAAAUGUACCAGAGGAAAAGGCUUGAGGAGAAAAUGAAAAAAGAACAGGAGGAGAAGCUGAAAAGGGAAGAGAAAAAAGAAAACUGAAACGUCUUAAGAGCCGUUUGGCAGCUUGCUUGGAUUCCUUUCCUGGGAGAGUUGAACACUUCACUGAAACCGAAUGCUGUGCCAGAGAAACUUAAUUCCCCAAGAGCAACAUACAACAAAAACAGCAGAUAAUGGAUUGUUUCAGAGACCUGAACUUCUCAAAAUUACCACCAGCCAAGCCAUCACACCAUCAGCCAGGACUUUCCAGAUUAAAUGACUCAUUAGUAACUGUACUUCUACUUCUUCUGUGGCUCAUGGUAAGAAAAUUGUAACUCAAAAUAUCCUGCUGGCCUUUUUUAUGUUGUUAACCAUAUUGCCUUUAGAUGUCAGUUCAGUUUAUUCCCAUAGAGCAGGAUGAUGUCUGCAGAA